CACCAGGUUGAUUCUGCCUGACGUAGACGCUAUUCCCUAAGAUUAACCCAUGCAUGUUUUUGACAUUUGAAAAAUGGACUGCUCAGUAAUACUCACUUUAUUUAAUGUACAUUUGAAAAUAACUACGUUAAAGUGUAGAUAAGAUGUGUACAGUAAGAGUGAGACCUAUCAGCUAGUUGUUAAGGUAAUGGCUUAACAAGGCAGUGACGGGUAACGGUAUUACUUUGUAAUAUUCCGGAGAAGGAGCCUGAGAGACGGCUACUAAGUCUAAGGAUUGCAGCAGGGGCGAAACUUGACCUAUGGAUUUUAUCUGAGGCAGUUAUGGGAAGUAAUAUUAUAUUGUUUCAUAUUGUAAAAGUAUAUGAGGUGAUUAAUUGGAGGGCAAAUCAAGUGCCAGCAGCCGCGGUAAUACUUGUUCCAAGAGUGUGUAUGAUGAUUGAUGCAGUUAAAAAGUCCGUAGUUUAUAUUUAAGAAGCAAUAUGAGGUGUACUGUAUAGUUGGGAGAGAGAUGAAAUGUGACGACCCUGACUGGACGAACAGAAGCGAAAGCUGUACACUUGUAUGUAUUUUUUGAACAAGGACGUAAGCUGGAGGAGCGAAGAUGAUUAGAUACCAUUGUAGUUCCAGCAGUAAACUAUGCCAACGAUGUGAUAUGAUAUUAAUUGUAUUACAUGAUAGAAAUUUGAGUUUUUUGGCUCUGGGGAUAGUAUGAUCGCAAGAUUGAAAAUUAAAGAAAUUGACGGAAGAAUACCACAAGGAGUGGAUUGUGCGGCUUAAUUUGACUCAACGCGAGGUAACUUACCAAUAUUUUAUUAUUCAGAGAAGAUAUAUUAUCUGAGGAUGAUAAUAGUGGUGCAUGGCCGUUUUCAAUGGAUGCUGUGAAGUUUUGAUUAAUUUCAACAAGACGUGAGACCCUUUUUUUAUAGACAGACACAAUCAGUGUAGGAAGGAAAGGAUUAAAACAGGUCCGUUAUGCCCUCAGACAUUUUGGGCUGCACGCGCAAUACAAUAGAUAUAUAAUCUUUAUGGGAUAAUAUUUUGUAAGAGAUAUUUGAACUUGGAAUUGCUAGUAAAUUUUAUUAAAUAAGUAGAAUUGAAUGUGUCCCUGUUCUUUGUACACACCGCCCGU
This 1129-nucleotide ribosomal RNA is filed under the name Nosema sp. CFD.P. RNAcentral describes it as "SSU rRNA". It matches the Rfam family "Microsporidia small subunit ribosomal RNA". The record is from RNAcentral. Lineage: Eukaryota; Fungi; Microsporidia; Nosematidae.